UGUCACUGUGUCCCUGUCACUGCUCCUUUAGUGCUUCCCCCUGCUCUGGGGAUGGAGCAGCCUCAGGAUUCUCCCUGGGCUCCAGUGAGCAACCCCCGAGUGCCAGCGAGGCUCAGGUUCAUUCCUGCAGUGUUUGACACUUUUCCAGCCCCUUUUUCCCUUUUUCCAGGUGCACAGGAGCCAGCAAUGCCUCUGGAAGAGGAAACACCUCAGGGAAACACCUUGCACGAGGAAUGAGGAUCGUGAAGGGUCAGUGGAUCCAAAGGAUCCAGGACCCAGCACAUGGCACCAGGACCCGGACCCAGGCACCAGCACCAGGACCCUGAACCCUAAAAUUUGGCACCCACCCCUAUGUGGCACCCUGCACCUCAACCUUGCUACCCUACAGCCCAAAACUGGGUCCCUGCACCAAACUUUGGGUCCUUGCACCCCAAAACUGGAUCCCUGCACUACCUGGGACCCAGCACCACCCCAGGCUGUGCCCCAGAGGUGCCCCCAGGAUUCCCUCCCUGGUUCUGUGACAUCACAAGGGAGCACCUGGCACUCGGACAAGCGGAAAAUCCCCCGGGAUGAAGUCCUGGCUGUGACCAUUCAGGGAUUUGGGAACCAUUUCUCCAGCAAUCUCCUGCUGAAGGGUCAGUUCUGUGUCCCUUGGUGCCAUCCACAUGUCCAGGAGCCCUGAGGUUGGCAGAGACACCCAUGGAGCCUUGCAAACAUUUGGGGCUUAAUUAAAAACUGUAUAAAAAUGGGUUUGUGGCACUGUCCUGCUUGUGAAACUUAAAAAGAAAAUAAUAAAUUCUGAACUUCAGCCA
RNAcentral lists this long non-coding RNA (812 nucleotides) under Cyanistes caeruleus (blue tit). RNAcentral's name for it is "lncRNA (ENSCCEG00000003008.1)". The record is from RNAcentral. Lineage: Eukaryota; Metazoa; Chordata; Aves; Passeriformes; Paridae.